UUUAUUUUGGCAGAAUAGUGCGAAGGAUUUAGAAUCUUUUUAUGUAAUUUUUACAAAUAAAA
Molecule: transfer RNA, 62 nt
Filed under: Afissula sp. XL-2019
Lineage: Eukaryota; Metazoa; Arthropoda; Insecta; Coleoptera; Coccinellidae
Description: tRNA-Leu
Source: RNAcentral